Apis florea (little honeybee) is the source of this 825-nucleotide long non-coding RNA. Lineage: Eukaryota; Metazoa; Arthropoda; Insecta; Hymenoptera; Apidae. The record is from RefSeq and is a predicted model, not a curated record.
CUUCUCUAAAUUUCUUUUCUAAUCUGCUCUCAUUUUCAGAUUUUGCAAAAAUAAUAGGUCUUAAAUUUGAAACUGGAUCGGGCGGUCCAAUUAAGUCAACUUGUGCUGGACUUUUUAGGUUAGAAGAUAUCUUCUAAUGCUAAACAAUCGAAAUAUAUUGUUACUAUAUUUUGGUUUGAUAUAAUUAUACAUUCGAGUCAUUUUAGAAGUUCAUACAUGUUUUACGAGGUUAUAUUUAUAUCAAUUAUGCGUUUCGUUUUCACUCAAUAAUCUUACUAUUACAUAAUCUUACUUUAAAAUCAUAUUAACAUAAUGCGUGAAAAAAUCGAAAAAUACAAAUAUAAUCCUUAUUCAACAAUCUUUUAUUUAUAUAUAACAUAAGCUCUUUAUAAAUAUAAUCUAAUAAAUCUAAUAAUUCCAUUAUUUCAUCUCUAUAUAAAUAAGAUUCAAUUAUUUCUGUAAUAGAUUUGAAUAUAAAUCAAUUAUUUAUAUUUUACUUUAAUGAUAUUUUUAAAAUACUGGCUUUUUGUUCACAAAAAAUAAUUUUUUUUUAACAUGAUUAAUUUGACAAUAAAUCAUUUAAAAAAAAAAAUUUAGAAAUUCAUUGAAAAUGUAUUGAAUAUUAAGAAUAUACUUUUGUGCUCAUCUUGCUAGAAUGAAAUUAUUUUUUUCUAUUUUAAAUUAUAAAAAAUACGAUAAAAAUUUAAAACAAAUUUAGAAAAAAUGAAAAGAUUGCCUGUAUUUAAGACUAGAGGUUUUUUUUUGUAAAAACAUUCCUUUUAUAUGCAUAAAUACUAAGCAGAACUGAAAAAAAAGUUAACAAAU